RNAcentral lists this ribosomal RNA (469 nucleotides) under uncultured bacterium. RNAcentral's name for it is "partial 16S ribosomal RNA". It matches the Rfam family "Bacterial small subunit ribosomal RNA", at positions 28 to 507 of the family's 1533-position model. The record is from RNAcentral.
GACGAACGCUGGCGGCGUGCUUAACACAUGCAAGUCGAACGAUGAAGCCUUAGCUUGCUUUGGUGGAUUAGUGGCGAACGGGUGAGUAACACGUGAGCAACGUGCCCAGGACUCUGGAAUAACCGCGGGAAACCGUGGCUAAUACCGGAUAGGUGCCGAGGCCGCAUGGUCUUCGGUUGGAAAGUUUUUGCGGUUCUGGAUCGGCUCACGGCCUAUCAGCUUGUUGGUGGGGUAAUGGCCUACCAAGGCGACGACGGGUAGCCGGCCUGGGAGGGUGACCGGCCACACUGGGACUGAGACACGGCCCAGACUCCUACGGGAGGCAGCAGUGGGGAAUAUUGCACAAUGGGCGCAAGCCUGAUGCAGCAACGCCGCGUGGGGGAUGACGGCCUUCGGGUUGUAAACCUCUUUUAGUAGGGAAGAAGCGCAAGUGACGGUACCUGCAGAAAAAGCACCGGCUAACUACGUG